UCUCUUGUUGCAGUGUGAAUACUUGUAAGGUUUCUUUCCAGUGUGGAUGUUCAUGUGUACCUUAAGGUGUCCUUUUUGUGCAAAACUCUUCCCGCAUUGAUCACAUGCGUGCGGCUUCUUUCCAGUAUGAACUCUUAUGUGAACAUCAAGAUUAUAUUUGCUUGUGAAACUCUUUCCACACUGAGCGCAAGUGGAAGAUUU
Molecule: long non-coding RNA, 201 nt
Organism: Sinocyclocheilus rhinocerous
Lineage: Eukaryota; Metazoa; Chordata; Actinopteri; Cypriniformes; Cyprinidae
Exons: 2
Source: RefSeq, a predicted model, not a curated record